GGGAAUAAACCCCACUACGUGUAGUGGGCUGAAUGUACCUGAGGAAUAAGGAUCGGCUAACUCCGCGCCAGCAGCCGCGGUAAUACGGAGGAUCCGAGCGUUAUCCGGAUUUAUUGGGUUUAAAGGGUGCGUAGGCGGCUUGUUAAGUCAGGGGUGAAAGACGGUGGCUCAACCAUCGCAGUGCCUUUGAUACUGGCGAGCUUGAAUGUACUUGAGGUAGGCGGAAUGUGACAAGUAGCGGUGAAAUGCAUAGAUAUGUCACAGAACACCGAUUGCGAAGGCAGCUUACUAAAGUAUGAUUGACGCUGAGGCACGAAAGCGUGGGGAUCAAACAGGAUUAGAUACCCUGGUAGUCCACGCCCUAAACGAUGAAUACUCGAUGUUGGCGAUAUACAGUCAGCGUCCAAGCGAAAGCGUUAAGUAUUCCACCUGGGGAGUACGGCCGCAAGGUUGAAACUCAAAGGAAUUGACGGGGGCCCGCACAAGCGGAGGAGCAUGUGGUUUAAUUCGAUGAUACGCGAGGAACCUUACCCGGGCUUGAAAGUUAGUGAAGGUACCAGAGACGGUACCGUCCUUCGGGACACGAAACUAGGUGCUGCAUGGCUGUCGUCAGCUCGUGC
This 620-nucleotide ribosomal RNA is filed under the name uncultured Pedobacter sp. RNAcentral describes it as "bacterial SSU rRNA". It matches the Rfam family "Bacterial small subunit ribosomal RNA", at positions 442 to 1065 of the family's 1533-position model. The record is from RNAcentral. Lineage: Bacteria; Pseudomonadati; Bacteroidota; Sphingobacteriia; Sphingobacteriales; Sphingobacteriaceae.